CAGCCACAUCACAUUGAAACACAGGUUCCUGUACAAUCACCAAAGUUAAGCAUCACAGAGUCUGGUCAGUACCUAGAUGGGUGACUGCUUGAAAAUACCAGGUGCUGUAAG
Molecule: non-coding RNA, 111 nt
Organism: Acanthosepion pharaonis
Lineage: Eukaryota; Metazoa; Mollusca; Cephalopoda; Sepiida; Sepiidae
Source: the annotation of a GenBank genome assembly